GAAAAUAAUGCUUUUUGUAGCAAUGGUUAUAACAUUGUAAAUUAUAGUGAUCUAAUGCAUCCUUUCAUGCUCAACUCCAUAUUAUAUUUACAAAUAUCAAGAGUACUCAUUGCCAAACAUUUGCAUGGAACAUGCGGGAACCAUCAUGAAGGCUUUAGCUGCAAAGAUUGCACUCAUGGAUACAACAAAAGGGACAUGUGUGACAUCUGCUAAGGGACACAACCUAAUUAUAUGGUAAGUCAUCACUGAGCUUAACUAUUGUUCAAACACCGUGGUAAAGAAAUUAGAAUUUUCUGCAAAAGAGGACUAUGACCAACGGAAUAUGCCAUUUUCUGCAGAUUUGGAAAGGGGACUAUGACCAACUUAUAUAUGACCAACGAAAUAUCCCAUCCACACCCCAGCAAUAUGCCAUUUUGUUCAAUUUAAAAGGGGACUGAUAUCACUGAGCUUAUCCAGCCCACGGAAUAUGCCAUUUUGUUCAAACACCGCUGUAAAGAAAUUAGAAUUUUCCCCUGCAAGUAGAAGUGCACAAUUGUUACUUGUCACUAAAAACGCUAACUAUUGUUAAUGAAAAUGCAUAUUAUUUAUUGUACAAUAUUUUACAACAGCACUUCCAAAUCUGCACCUAACCAUAUAUCAAGUAUUGUUCCUAACAAACUACAUUACAGUAAAUUCCGCCACUCCAUUCUGAACCUAUAUCAAACUACAGUACAAUAAUUUCUGAACCUAUAUCAAACUACAGUACGGUAUUUUCUGAACCUAUAUCAAACUACAGUACAGUAUUUUCUGAACCUAUAUCAAACUACAGUACAGUAUUUUCUGAACCUAUAUCAAACUACAGUACAGUAUUUUUUGAACCUAUAUCAAACUACAGUACACAUUGAUCAUAACAGGAUAAUGCACAGGGGAGCACACAACGACAUCACACAUUGAUCAUAGGCCCAAGCAGGCAUAUUUACGUGGAUGAGGUUCAUGAGCACAUCAGACGAUAGACUACAGAGCACGAACAGGUAGACGUCAACAGAUUGCAAAGCUCGUUUACAUAUAAGCUAAAUGUGCUAUUAUUUCUAGUGAAAAACCAUGAUAUUCCAAUUCCUGUUUGUAAUGUUAAAUACUAAUUAAAGAACUGUGGGGCAGUGCUUCAAAACUUUAAAUUGCAAAAGCAAUAAACCUGGGAAGCAAAGCCUCCAGGACAUGCAUAGGAGGACAACUCACAUCAAAAAUAGAAUAUGACCUUUUAUGCUAGUCAACCAGAAGGCCAAUUGAAUAUACGUAAUUAAUUGCUAUCAAGAGAGCCAAAGCAACACAUGGAUUUCAUUUUUUUAUUGGAUGAAGCGCAUAAUGUAUACUGUAUAAACAAAUUCAAAGUUCAGUUAUGGUCAACCAUACCUUGAUACAAGUAGGUCUAAUAUUGCAAACUGUAACCGCGAUGUCGACAAAAUAAGCUGCACAUCGAGCACUGAAAUAUCAUCUGCACAUCAGAGACCUUGCAGGAUGCUCUAUCCAAUUUGUUGUGAGUCCAGAAUAUGCUCUUUCUUAAGAUUAAAAUCAUAUAGAUAAAAGAUGUACAAAACAACAGACAAUCAAAACCCAGUGCUAGAAGUAAGGCUCCUCAUAGUAAAAAAAAUCAUGUUGAGCAAAUCUUGACCUUUCAGGAUGCUCUAUCCAAGUUGAGAGAUAUUUUAAAGCAGUAAAUGGUGUUUGGAGUAGCACUUGACAAUGGCAUAGGAAUGCUCAUGUGUACAAAUUUCAUGGUAAUUAGAGAAAGUAGCAAAGCUCAGGUGCACAUGGGUCCACAACACCAUAUUGCAAAUCAACCAGAGUAAUAGACAUCAUUACUUUGGAUAACCUAUAGCCGAGUUACAUUGGAUACGGAUGCUACUGCAGUGAAAAUCUUAGUAUCACACCAUUGUUGACAAAAGAUAGGAGGGGCUACUACUGCGUCAUUAUAUUAUUUAUAAGCAAAAAUUUACAUGAGUAAUUCUAAACUCUUAGCUGCCCACAAUCUGAAUUGUCAACAGCCAUAUUCAAUUCCCUUUGAUAACCUAAAGACACCAUGCCCAAUGAGAAGAAGACAAAUGAGAUUAGAGUGCAAGUUACUGAAUCAUAUAUAGGAUAAACACCUCCUGAACCUGUUUUUUCUGAGUAGGGGCCCGCCUCACCUUGUCGUUGUAGCCUACAGGUUGGCGCUUGGGGGGGAGGGGGGGGGGCAUGGAGAGGCCAGGGAUGUGGUUCUCCUGUUGCAAGCGCCGAUUGGAGAUGCAGCAGGCCAAGGGGCUAGCAGCAUCUCACUUCUUCCUCGUCUUUUUUUGGUGGAGACCAAGCCUCUCCUUCUCCUAAGCGCCGUGUAACAGGGGGAGCACGCACCAACGAUCCUCGAGUGCAAUAAAGAAGGAAUGAGUUAGGCGAGAUAAGCAGGGGUGAGGGCGUUAUAUACUGCCAAUUUUUGGAGCAAAGAUAAGCCGAAACUAACAGCGUCAGAUCAACCAAACAUCCAAAACAUCUGAACCUGAGAUGACAACCCAGAGAUCCACAUUCCGUAUAUACUGCCAAUAGUAAAACUAUCCAUCAAACCCAAAUCAGUCACUUAUCAAGCAAAAACAAGCCAAGACUAACUGCAUCCGAUCACCAGAUGCCAUAACACCCAAUCCAACAGCUGCCACAAUAACAAAGAGAUCCCCACUCCGUAUAUUUCACUAAUAUACAAACAGUUGUUAUGUCCAGUUGACCGUUUCUAAAGCAAAGUUAAGUUGAAACUAAAAGCAUCAGACAACCAAAACACCCCAAAUUCCAUAACCUGAGAUCCCAUGGCACCCAGUCCAACAGUGAACCAUCUCAUGAACCUAAUUAAGUAGUGUAUAUAUGAACCUAAACAACAUGACAUAGCUGAACAACAACACGAAUAGCAGCUGCAUGCGGAUCCAAUUGAUAUAUAGUAAACAAAAGGCCCAGAAAAAAAUCACCUCCAGAGGACGUCUCCAAGGAGCAUCAAGUCGCCAUCCUUGUCUCCGUCCUGCUCACCGUCUCCACGAAACUCAUCUCCUUGUUCCCACACUUGCCUGGCUCUGAGAUUCAAAUCGUCAGAAGCCCACCAGAAGAGCAACGCAUCGCGUGCUCGUCUCUGCGGAGCAACGACGCGAUUAGCGGUCUACACAGUCUUCCCAACGGGGAGAGCAGCGGCGUCGGUGGCGGCGAUGGGUGAAAAAGGGAAGGAAAGGCGGUGGGAGCGCGACAAAUCUGAGGCGGCUCACCUCGGUUUGCCCUCUUCCCGGAGGAGCACGAACUUGAGGACACGCUCCGGUCCUCCUCCCGUUGAUGGCGAAGCAGGAGGACGGGCGGCAGCAGUUGGUGGUCGAUCUCCUCUUCCACCGCUACCCGUUGCCCCUCCACAACCCGAGGGCCGGUGGUGAGGAACGAGCACGACGGGGAGAGCGGCGGCGGUGGCAAGCUCGGCCCGACGCGGAGCAGUAGUGGCCGUGUUGCUUCUCGGAGGGCGGCGGCGCGAGGGAAGGCAACGAAGAGAAGGGGAGGGGGCGGCGGCGGCAACACGAGAGAGAGAUGCGAGGGAGAGACGCAGCCCUACCUGUCUCACCGAUUGGGGAGGGAGCAACCAAUGGUGAGAAGCCACUUGGC
Molecule: long non-coding RNA, 3633 nt
Filed under: Triticum aestivum (bread wheat)
Lineage: Eukaryota; Viridiplantae; Streptophyta; Magnoliopsida; Poales; Poaceae
Description: long non-coding RNA (TAES_LNC018390)
Source: RNAcentral